GUUUAGGAGUAAGUGUUCAGGAGAUAAAGUUGUGUUUGGAUGUCCUGACUUCCAGGACCAGGGGAUGAAAGAGGAGACACCAAAUUGUAAAGGAGAGCUGGGACCAGAAUUGAAGAGGACCCAAAAUCAGAGAAUGGAUGGUGGCUGGGCCCAGAGACCAGGGACCAGGGUAGUGAGUGAAGUCGCUCAAGUCUUGUCUGACUCUUUGCGACCCCAUGGACCUACCAGGAGCCUACCAGGCUCCUUUACCGUGGGGUUUUCCAAGCAAGAGUACUGGAGUGGGUUGCCACUUCCUUCUCUAAGGUACCAGGGUAAGAGCCGUGGAAACGGUGAAGCCAUUGCCAUGUAUCUGGCAAAGACAUCAGCACUCAGAGCUGGAAGGAAGUCCAGUGAGGUCUGCCAGGCUCCAAGGGGACACUGGAAUUGGAACCAAAUUCCUCUCUUUUAAGAAACUGGGAAGAACACAGUCUAAACGGAGUAGCAAGAGACCGAACUGGAUGACUUUCAACCCACCUGAAGAUCCUCCCACCUUGCUAAUUGCUUGAAGUGAAAUCCUGACAACUUAGUCCUUUCAAGAUGAAGAGCCUGUCCACUCUCACAGCUCAGCUGUCACUGCCCUUCCUCUCAGUCACUGGGACCUGCUGUUCGGGGCUUCUAGCUCCUACAGGAGCUCCUCUCACCCUGAGGCCCUUUCACAUACUGGUCCCCCGAGAGGCAUGUUGUCUCCCCAGCUAUCUACAGGGCUGACUUCUGCUCAUCCUUCAAGUUUCCUUUUUGAAGUCACCUCCACAGAGAGGUCUCCUUGUUCUCCAGGUCUAAACAUGCCUCCCUCUAGUUGAUUGUGCCCUUAGCCCGUGCCACAAGUUUAAUUAUGC
RNAcentral lists this long non-coding RNA (875 nucleotides) under Capra hircus (goat). Its description in RNAcentral is "lncRNA (ENSCHIG00000004979.1)". Lineage: Eukaryota; Metazoa; Chordata; Mammalia; Artiodactyla; Bovidae. The record is from RNAcentral.